RNAcentral lists this ribosomal RNA (253 nucleotides) under uncultured bacterium. RNAcentral's name for it is "partial 16S ribosomal RNA". It matches the Rfam family "Bacterial small subunit ribosomal RNA", at positions 524 to 776 of the family's 1533-position model. The record is from RNAcentral.
UACGUAGGGUGCGAGCGUUGUCCGGAAUUAUUGGGCGUAAAGAGCUUGUAGGCGGUUUGUCGCGUCUGCUGUGAAAAUCCGGGGCUCAACCCCGGACUUGCAGUGGGUACGGGCAGACUAGAGUGUGGUAGGGGAGACUGGAAUUCCUGGUGUAGCGGUGGAAUGCGCAGAUAUCAGGAGGAACACCGGUGGCGAAGGCGGGUCUCUGGGCCGAAACUGACGCUGAGGAGCGAAAGCGUGGGGAGCAAACAGG